This 468-nucleotide ribosomal RNA is filed under the name uncultured bacterium. RNAcentral's name for it is "partial 16S ribosomal RNA". It matches the Rfam family "Bacterial small subunit ribosomal RNA", at positions 28 to 507 of the family's 1533-position model. The record is from RNAcentral.
GACGAACGCUGGCGGCGUGCUUAACACAUGCAAGUCGAACGGAAAGGCCCUGCUUUUGUGGGGUGCUCGAGUGGCGAACGGGUGAGUAACACGUGAGUAACCUGUCCUUGACUUUGGGAUAAAUUCAGGAAACUGGGGCUAAUACCGGAUAGGAGCUCCUGCUGCAUGGGGGGGGUUGGAAAGUUUCGGCGGUUGGGGAUGGACUCGCGGCUUAUCAGCUUGUUGGUGGGGUAGUGGCUUACCAAGGCUUUGACGGGUAGCCGGCCUGGGAGGGUGACCGGCCACCUUGGGCCUGAGAUACGGCCCAGACUCCUACGGGCGGCAGCAGUGGGGAAUCUUGCGCAGUGGGCGGAAGCCUGAUGCAGCAACGCCGCGUGCGGGAUGACGGCCUUCGGGUUGUAAACCGCUUUCGCCUGUGACGAAGCGUGAGUGACGGUAAUGGGUAAAGAAGCACCGGCUAACUACGUG